CUGUCUCAAAAAAUAAGUAAGGAGAAAAUACAAAUUUAAAAAGCAGGAAGGAUGACCUGAAAGAAAGGGAAAUAAAACCUAGUGUUUGUCAAGUAAUACAAAACUUUUAACUAGAAGGAGUAAGUUGAGGAGAUCUAUACUACAGUGUAGCAACUGUAGUUUCAGUCCUGAAAAUUGUUAGGGAAUUUUUACCACAAAAUAAGUAUAUAAGGCAAAGCUACAUAAAUUAAGCCAUUUUGUGACACAUAAGUACUUCUCAUUAUGUACAUAAAACCCAUAAAAUAACAAAAGUUAGUUUUCCAGUAAUUUUUGAAAGCUAAGUGACAUUGUAUGUGUAUUUGUGGAGUUUCUGAAUUUGGGAAAUGCUUGUUUAACCCCCCUUUAAGUAUGAUUACAUCCUGUGAGUAGAUUUGCAGAGUUCUGUGUGUGUGUGUGUCUGUGUGUGUGUGUGUGUGUGUGUGUGUACACACGAGAGCGCACGUGUGUUCACAUUGCUGUAUGCAUACAUGCUGAUGAAGUGCUCAAUUGUGGGAAUAGCCCUAAGUCAGUCUUUCCUUCUCCCUGUUUUAUGUAUUAAGAAAAAAAAAUUGAUUUCUAGGUUUAUUAUUCUCAAGGUCCUUUGUUCAUUCCUGGAAGAUAGGCCUUUGGGAAUGGGAAGCAUUCCUUUAGAGCAGUUUAUUUAAAUGACUUCUCAGAAUUAACCUCCACAGUGGGACCUGAAUUCUGAACACAAAGCUGUUCCUUUUCUGUUUCCACAACACAGGAAGAAAAUCGUGAACUUCUAGGGUGUCAACAGUCUUCUUACUGUUUUUCAUAAUGAUCCAAAGUGUGAAUAUCCUCAAAUCUGAGCCCUAUAAUUCUGAUUCGUUAGACCUGUGAGUAUUAAAAUCCCAUAAGAGGCCAGCUUGCAAUAUGCUCACUCUGCUCCACACACAAAAAAAUAUGUAAGGGAGAGUGUAGCAGAGUGACAUUUUAGUGAUAGGAAUUUAAUAAUUAUUGAACAGAAGAAGUUCUGUGCACAUCUAUUCUGGCUAAAGCACUUUUAUAGACUAAACUUCUGUGGUGUGUGUGUGUGGGGGGGGGUGCUCCAGGAUUUGUUGUUUUAAAACUAUUUUUCUCUUCAUCCUUCUAUGUGCCAGCAAGGAGCUAGGGUCUCUGCAAUCAGUUUGAUGUCACUAGACCCCUACCAAAGGCAGUCAACUGGUCAGAAAAACCAAGGGAGCUCUCAGGACAAUGUAUUCCAGAAGCCCCUCUCUGGAAACAUGCUUGAUCCACGGAAACUCUCCUAAUGAGUCAAGGAGCUGGAAAUCUCUGCCCCUGGGCUUUCUCCUGCACCUGCCCCACCCACAUCAGAGGCUAAGGCCCAGAGGAGCAUCAGGACCUGUUCCUGUUUUGCUAUUUAUAAUGAAGGAGAGCGGUGACAACCCAAAGCUCUAGCACAGCGGCAGGAACCUCCGGGGCUACUUUUCACAACAGCCAAAAAAAAAAAAAAAAAAAAAAAAAAACCCA
Molecule: long non-coding RNA, 1509 nt
Organism: Mus musculus (house mouse)
Lineage: Eukaryota; Metazoa; Chordata; Mammalia; Rodentia; Muridae
Product: predicted gene, 38468
Exons: 2
Source: RefSeq, a predicted model, not a curated record